GGGUGAAAGGCCAAUCAAACACCGUGAUAGCUGGUUCUCCCCGAAAUGCAUUUAGGUGCAGCGUUGCGUGGUUCUUGUUGGAGGUAGAGCACUGGAUGGUCUAGGGGGCUUAUCGGCUUACCGAAAUCAGCCAAACUCCGAAUGCUGGCAAGUGUAGCGUGGCAGUGAGACGGCGGGGGAUAAGCUUCGUCGUCGAGAGGGAAACAGCCCAGAUCAUCAGCUAAGGCCCCUAAGUGGUGACUCAGUGGGAAAGGAUGUGGAGUUGCGUAGACAACCAGGAGGUUGGCUUGGAA
This 293-nucleotide ribosomal RNA is filed under the name Kryptoperidinium foliaceum. Its description in RNAcentral is "partial Bacterial large subunit ribosomal RNA". It matches the Rfam family "Bacterial large subunit ribosomal RNA", at positions 819 to 1111 of the family's 2925-position model. The record is from RNAcentral. Lineage: Eukaryota; Dinophyceae; Peridiniales; Kryptoperidiniaceae.